Molecule: long non-coding RNA, 663 nt
Organism: Oncorhynchus tshawytscha (Chinook salmon)
Lineage: Eukaryota; Metazoa; Chordata; Actinopteri; Salmoniformes; Salmonidae
Source: Ensembl
AGCUGUUGCCAGAGAGGUGAAUUUCCAUUUCUCUACCAUAAGCCACUUUCAAUGUCGUUUUAGAGAAUUCGUCAGUAUAUCCAUCACAAACGCAGACCACUUAAAUGGCGUCCUAUGGUUGAGUGGUUUGCUGAUGCCCCAUGGUGAUAGUGGUGUUAUGCCCGUGGAGAUAUCAAAACAGCUGCAAAAAAAUAAAAUUCCCAGCCAUAAACCUGAUGCAUCAGGAAGCACCACAGACCUGAGCGACACAAAUGAGAUCACACACCUGCCAUGUCUCCACCAUCCACGCUGGCACUGUGGGCCGACGCUGGAGACGAGAAGCAAGGGAGUGAACAUUUAAUGUAAAACAGACAUCAAACAAAACAAGAACAGUGUCUGGAUGGGGGGAACAAAACGACAUGACGACAAUAAUGCUGACACGGAGAAACAAACUGAGGAACAAACAGAUAUAGAGGGACAAUCAACAAGGUGAAGGAGACCAGAGGUGCCACCUGGCAUCCCACCUGGGCGAAGCAUGGGCGCUGGACAAGAUGGCCGAGGCGUAGAAGCCUGAUGAUCCAGCUGAGGCGUGGGAGCCUGACGAGCCGGCUGAGGCAUGAUGUGGGAUGGGAGCCUGCCGAUCCAACUGAGGAAAGGAAACCUCUCAAGCCAGCUAAGAUGUGG